GGUACCUUCCCCUCUCUCCUCUCUCCCGUACCCGAGCCCCCUCUCUCCCAUGCUCACCCGUGCUCUCCAAGAGUCGCGUCUUCCGAGUGCAGAGGACGAUGAGAGCUGCUGCCUUUACUUAUGCCUCAAAAUCUUUUUGGUGUUGUGAUUGGUUGUCCAACUAUUAUUUUGGUGGUUGUUCAUCAAAAUCUUACUAAUGUUUCUUUAUUUAUUCUCCAGUCCAUCGAACCUACGGUUCUGAUUGGAACAUCAGGAGUUGGAAGGACAUCCAUAAAAUAUGUUGUUGAGACGAUGGCUUCCUUCAAUGAGGAACUUGGAGGGUUGGGUGUGAAGCAAUCUGAUGGUUUUAUUCAUUUAAAUAGUGGAAGCACUAGCUGAUCAGGUCACUCGAGAGAAUUGAAACUUGAAAGGUAUCAACCUUCGUGCCCGUCACCAGCAUCAGAAACAUCUCCGCUCACAUUGCUGUCGCCGUGGCUGCAAAAAGCUUAUGAGCUUGGUUUGGGGACCCGUUUGCAAUACCCCCGAGACCUGGUGAAAAACGCCGAGAGCUGCUUGUACACUCCUGUCUACUGCAACCACCGAUAGCUCUGCGGGGAUAAAUUUUUAGUAAUAAAAAACUAGGAAUGCAGGGUACUACAAUGUAGCGGUGGUUUUUGUUGGUUUGUCUCUAAUUCGACAACCCUUGUUGCUACUGCUGAUGCUGGUAGACAUUGUACCUGUCUAUGCAUAUGUGUGUGUAUAUAUAUAUAUAUAUAUAUAUAUAUUGUAACG
Molecule: long non-coding RNA, 771 nt
Organism: Setaria italica (foxtail millet)
Lineage: Eukaryota; Viridiplantae; Streptophyta; Magnoliopsida; Poales; Poaceae
Exons: 3
Source: RefSeq, a predicted model, not a curated record